GCUUUUGAUGGGUAGGAUGAAUAUAGACUAGAAGGUGGGGGCUAUAUAUAAAGGAAAAAAAAUUUGAAAGCUACGCAGUAUUAGGGCAGCACCCAAAGCCACAGCUAUCGCGGUAUUAGGGUAGCACCCAAACCCAUGCCUAUCGCAGCGUUAAUAAGCUACCGAGGCGCGCUCCAAGGCCCAACCCUUUUACCAUCCCUGAAGGCCGAAAGAAAGAAGAAUCCAGAAUCCACGAGGACGGCGGUGACGAUGGGAUCGACGCUGGCGAAGCCCUUCCUCCGUCCUCCGUUUCACCUCCUCGCUGGCGCCGUCUCCACUACCUCCCGUGCUCCAUCCCUCCCUCUUUCUUCGUUAUCGAUUCCUUCGCCGCCGCCCUUCCUGGCGGACUACCUGGUGGACCGGCUGGGCUACCCGAAAGACCAGGCUCUCGCUGCCUCUAAGCCCCUGCUCCACAUCACCUCCCCGGAGAAGCCCGAUGCCGUCCUCGACUUCCUCCGCCGCCGCGCCGGCCUCUCCAUCCCCCAGCUCCGCCGCUUCGUCCGCUGCCGCCCCUCCAUCCUCGCCGCCGACGUCCACUCCAACCUCCUCCCCAAGCUCUCCCUCUUCCAUUCCCUCCUCUCCGACGUCGGCGCCUCCCCCGAUGACACGCCCCCCAAGGAUCUCGCCGUCCUCGUCUCUGCCUGCGCCCCCGCCUUUGGCUACAGCGCCGCCCGCCUCGCCCCUGCUCUCGACAUUCUCCGCUCCCUCUUCGCCGGCGAUAACCGCAAGGUCGCCUCCGCCCUCCGCCGCUGUCCCCGCCUUCUUACGAACGACCCCCAUAAGGUACUCGCUCGCAACCUCGCCGUCCUCCGCCGCCGUGGCCUCGAUGUUACCGCCCUCGUCGAGAAGGCCCCCGUCGUCCUCAUCCUCAGCCCUGAACGGCUGGACUCGACAUUCCAAAUCGUGAAGAAGGAAUUGAACAUUGGCAAUGCCUCUGUCGACGGCUAUUUCGAUGCUAUUUACCUGGGAACCUGCAUGUCCGAGAAGGCCUUCAAGAACAAGUUGAGAAUCGUCAGGAGCUACGGGUUCAGUAAUGCCGAGCUGUUCACCUUGAUCAGAAGGGCUCCGCUCUUCUUCCGGCUCACCGAUGAGCACAUGAAGAAGAAGCUGGAGUUCUUCAUUCGCUCUCUCGGCUACACUCCACAAUCACUGCUAUGGAACACCUGGCAGCUACUCUUCAGCCUGGAAACUAAGCUUUUGCCGAGAUAUGAGCUGCUGUGGGGCCUCCAAUCAAGAAAAUUGCUCCCAGGAAAUCUCAAAUAUGCAAAGGCAUUUGUCAUGCCUCAAGAAAGAUUCAAUCAAGAGUAUGUCUACAAGUUCAAGGAUGGUGGCGGCUCGGAUCUUGUCGAGUCCUACAUGAACAGCCCAGCAUUUAGCAAGUCAACCCCUGAGGAGUAAUAACUGAGAUGAGUGCACAAGUUGAUGGUUUAUAUGUCUCCAUAGUCUUUCUGCUGGUGUUUGAGGAGAGUAGCUCAAGGUCUAUUUAAUUUCUAAGCCAGAGCCUGGAAGGACUUGAAGUGUUGAACAUAUUUCUGCUUGAGAGAUCAGAAAAGUGCUCAUCCCCAGUUUGGAUAUAUCUAUAUAUAUUCUUCUGAACUUCAGUUCUAAAAAAACGAAGGGAUGAUAUACAGAGAAUGCAUUUGGACACCAUAUUAACAACAUAAUGCUUGUUACAGCUAUCAUGAAGGUACUUUCCCAUUUAUCUUUUACUCUUUUUUUUUCUGUUUUUUAAUAUCUGGAUCAGUGACUAUCUGGUAGUCCAUUUGUAUAUGCUAGAUGGUAAGAUGUUCGCAUGGUAGCUUGUCAUUAUUAUUAUUAUUAUUAUUAUUUAAUGUUUGACUGAAGCAGCAGGAUGCGCAAAUUACAAGUAAGCUAUAAGCUUUAAAUCUAUAUUUGUUAUUAUCAUAUGUUGCUUUUACAAUUUAGGUGAAUAGCCAAGGAUCAAGCAAUAUGCUUACUUAUACAUGCCUACUUGUUCUUUCUUUUUAUUUCUUUUUCUUUUCCCCUUCUUAUCUUUGAUAAUGGAGGUUCUUAGAUUUGAGAUUGGACUUUAGGUAUGCAGUUGGAAAAGAAAUUUAGAUAGAUAUAAAGGCUAUUUGGUUGGGUGUCUAUGACUCUUCCAUGUGUUCCUGGAAGCUGUUUGAUAACCUUUGUUUUGGAUGUUAUGUCAAGCAUAUAUUUGGGCUGAUGGAGGAACUGUAUGAAGAUGGAACCGCUUUUUACUCAUCUAGGAGGUAAGAGGUUAACAACUUGAUGAAUUGAGUUUAGAGAUGGAAACUUGGUUGGUAUUGUUUGUUAAAUUACCAAAUUGAAGAUGUUGGUACCUUGUCUAGAAGCAUUGCUUUUUCUUUCCACCUUGAACUUUAGGCCUUUGAACAUAUGAUUAUCGUUGGAGAGAUGUUGUUUUUUGACGGUUGCAUGAGUAAUGAAGCAAUUUUAUUUAUUUCAUAGAUGAUGAGUUAUUCUUUAUCAUGUCAUGGUUUUUACAUAUGACUAUUUGGUGCCACUGCUAAUGGAUGCUAGAAUUUCAGUACCUUUUCAUAAGGGCUUGAAGGAAUCAUUGAUUGUAGGGUAUAACAUCCCUCGCUUGAAUUUGAAGUUUUGUUUUUUAUGCAGACCAGUGACUUGUGAAAGAAAUUUCCAAUUUUGAUGGUGAUAAGAUUUUUAGCUUUAUAAUUGCUACCAUUUAAUAUUUUUAUAUCUAGAGAUUUAGUCAUCCUGGUUACUUAGGCAGGACCAAGGCGGAGUAAGAUCCAAG
RNA transcript from Elaeis guineensis (African oil palm), 2797 nucleotides. It is a transcript of the gene named transcription termination factor MTERF8, chloroplastic, with no coding region annotated. NCBI's taxonomy places the organism in Eukaryota, Viridiplantae, Streptophyta, Magnoliopsida, Arecales, Arecaceae. The record is from RefSeq and is a predicted model, not a curated record.